CACGUAGGGCGCGAGCGUUGUCCGGAAUUAUUGGGCGUAAAGGGCUCGUAGGCGGCCUGUUGCGUCCGCUGUGAAAGCCCCGGGGCUUAACCCCGGGUCGGCAGUGGAUACGGGCAGGCUAGAGGUAGGUAGGGGAGAAUGGAAUUCCCGGUGUAGCGGUGAAAUGCGCAGAUAUCGGGAGGAACACCGGUGGCGAAGGCGGUUCUCUGGGCCUUACCUGACGCUGAGGAGCGAAAGCGUGGGGAGCGAACAGG
This 254-nucleotide ribosomal RNA is filed under the name uncultured bacterium. RNAcentral describes it as "partial 16S ribosomal RNA". It matches the Rfam family "Bacterial small subunit ribosomal RNA", at positions 524 to 776 of the family's 1533-position model. The record is from RNAcentral.